GGAGGAAUGGAGUUUUUCUCAGAUGAUUGUAUAGAGUGUAUACAUCAGUAGAUCUUAUUUUGUUGCUAAUGUCUUCUUGCCCUGCACCAGCCAGGAUGAUUGUAUAUUGAGUUCCUGCAUUGAAAAUAUGUCACUGUCAUUUUAAAGUUGUGUUAUCAUAAUGCUAUUAGUCUGCAUUUACUUUACUUCUUCGGUCUUGCAGUUGCUAUCCUGCAAGUGUGUGAGGACAUGCAAAUCACCAGACUGCACCUGUCUCAGCAAUGGGCUGAAGUGCACAAACCUGUGCAAAUUACAAACUUGUGCCAACCAGUACAGUGAGGAAGAGCCCCUUGCACACCGGCAGAUUCAGAUGUAGAAGAAGAUACAGAUACUGAUGUCGAUUACUGAUGUUGAUUAAUAAAUGAUGACCAAAGGGAGCUAUGUUAACAGACCCACUGUGACUCAGUGACAGAAUUAUGUACUAAGCCAAAACUUGACAGUCAUAUUUGCUGUCACUGUUCCUUAUGGAAAGAAUAGGACUUUGAAUAGGGAUUGGAGUUUUCUCAGAUGAUUGCAUAGAGUGUAUACAUCAGUGGAUCUUAUUUUGUUGCUAAUGUCUUCUUGCCCUGCACCAGCCAGGAUGAUUGUAUAAUGAGUUCCUGCAUUGAAAAUAUGUCAGUGUCAUAUUAAAGUUGUGUUAUUAUAAUGCUAUUAGUCUGCAUUUAUUUUACUUCUACUUCUAAGUAAAAAAAUAUCCUUUAUUUAGACCUUGAUUUAGACCUGACGAUUGGCUAAUUGAAGCUUAUAUAUACACACCUGUAUUAGAUAAAAUACUUGAAAUACUACUUAGGGGGUUAUUACAAGUCUCUAUGGCUAGCCAAUAGUUCAAACACACCUAAAUGAGAGGUUAAAAUGAAAGAAAGCUAAUUUUGAAGGAAGGCGAUUUUUCAUUUUUGAAAGCUGCACUCUAUUACUUCAGUGAGUGAUAACUACAAUAAAGCUACCAGUUACCAAGGUCUAUCAUAUAAAAACUUAUUGUAGGGAUGUAUAGCAAUAAAAAAAUCACAACUAGAAUUUGCCCACCCAGGUGGUACCGAUAUGUGAAAUUUUGGUUCUUGGCUCAAGUGCUUUGAUAGCUGAAAGAACUGCUCCACCAUCAAAUUGGGCCACUCCCACUUCAUCAACUCAUUUAAUUAGACACAGGUUUGAUUCAUUUAUAGAAAAGAGCAGUGUGACCCAAAAAGAGUGUGACUUUUAAUGUGCUUUUGACUUUCUGUGUUGCUUUUGGAGUUAACAAAAAUUUGCCUAUUGAGGAAAAUAACAAAAUGAGAAAAAAUAUAAAAAGCUACCCCUAUGAAAAGUCUAUCAUAUUUUAAUUUACUUAUAUUGACCCUAAAAACAAUUUAGAAUAUGUAAGGUUUUGCCCACCCAAGUGGUACCGACAUCUGGUCUGGCUCAAGGACUAUAAGGGCCUGAUUCACUAUGGGACUAUGCAGCUUUACUCUACUUCCUCUAAUCUGUGUAUUUAUAUAUAAGACAUUGUGUAAUUCACAAAGCAAAGGGUCACAUGCACCAUAACCUUAACUGCACAACAAAUAGCAUCAGUAUCCGACACUGCUGUGUGCAUACAUUAAAAUCAACCACAAUGUUUUUAUUUGGAGUGAAAUAGGACAUGUAAAUAAGACUUAUGGCAAAAACACCAAAUGCACAAACUGAGAAGCCAACAGCCACUCUCAAAAGAGAGUGAAACUUUUACUGUCUGCUGAGAGGUAGGGAGGUGGUUGGAUUGUCCGCUUUUAAUGUGGUCCCCGGGCUCAUAUUUGGCUCAUUCAUGCUGACAAGGAUGUUAUAUAGUUGAAAAAAAGAGCUAGGCUCAUCAUUUUUCAGUUAAGAUGACAGACUGUGUUUUAUUUUGGGUUUACUUUGGACCACAGUAGCUCAGAGAAGUUUAUUGGCACUAAUAAACUCUGUAAUUACCCAUGAGAAUAAAUAAAACACUGUAAAAGCAACACCCAGCCAAUGAUGUGCAAAAUUUACCACACCUCAAGUACAUAUGUGUAAGGCAACAAGUCCUCAGUUUAAGUGCAAGUUAAGGCACCGCAGAAAUUCCCAUUACCUUUGUCCGAGUCCAAGUCGAUUCUUCAAUGGUAAGUUAUUUAUCACAAACAGGUUGGUGUUUUUACUCCAAACCGACUGUAUGAGACCCAUAGACUGUAUAUAGAACAUAUACACUACAGGCCGAAAGUUUGAAAGCAAGAUCAGAUUUGUACAAAAAAAGGUCAUAGUUUCAUUAAUAUAAUUUGCAACACAAUAAACAUGACUAUUGUGUAAAGAGUAACUUAUCAGAAGACAUUUUGACUAUAAUUAUUAGGUAUUUGAGUUAUUGUUGCUUAGACUUUGCUUUCUUUAAAGUAACCUCCUCUGGCUUUCACAACAGCUUGGCAUAUACCAGGCAUUCGUUCCACAAGUUGUAUUUCCCCCGCAAUCAAGCAGCUGUCGGAUUGUGGAUCUGAAAGCGCUCACAUCUCUGCAGGUCAGGAAACACUCUACUGUUCGGCCCCAUAGCAAGGAUCCUCCAUAUGCAACCCAGGCUUCCGGUUUUGACUUUCAAAAUAAAAUGCAAACCACAUCACAACCCGUUCACCAUCAAGACUUAUCUAAGACUUAACACUGCACCAAAACAACACCUAACUGUGCUUUAUUUUGGCGUAGGCUAUAAAUUAAAAGCAUAGACUCAGUAAGACUAAUUAGGCCUUAGAUCUGAGUCAGAAAGAGAUCGGGGAGUGAGUCGGUCGAUCCCCACUAAGAAAUCGAUUUUAAAAGUUUUCUUUGGAUCCAUGAUUACUGUUAUCAUAGUACCUUUCAGACCAGAUUAAAGAGACAGAAACAAUAAACAGUGUCAGGUUUUUUUCCUGUUUUUUUUCUCCUUUUUUUGCCUGACUGAUAAUAAUGAUAAAAAAAAAAACAGGCAGAAAACUGAAAGAAAAAAACACACAAAAAAAAUAAAAUAAAGGGAAAAAAAAGUAUUUCUGAAAAAAAAAAAAACUACUGGAAAGAAAAUUAAAAAACAACAAACAAAAGCACCCAUAACCCGGUGUUUUUCACACAAAAAAAAAAAAUAAACCUUGCGGUUUUCCCUCCCAUGGGAGGGUUUUUAUCCCCCUCCUCGAGCUACCACCUUACCGUGGUGGAGGGGUUUGUGUGUCCCAAUGAGAGUUAAUUCUGAUUUACUCUUGCUGUUGUCAAAAAGUGCUAAAAUUUCUCUGAAUUUCGCAUGUUAAGUAGGCCCAUGUCAGUUUUAAUCCUUGCAGGACUCUUGUUUUCACUUUUCAUCAGCAGAGGAAAAGCUUUUGGAUAACUGAUUAAUAUAGAGUUCAGGGGAAAGUAUAUCUGCAAUGUAUAAUCAAUAAUGACUUUAUCUUCAUGAGUAAAUAUGAUUUGUACAUUUAAAGAGAACUAUUUUUUAAUUUUGGUUCAACAAUGGACAGAAGUAGACAGGCAAGAUGGCGUCUGUAAAGUUCAGUUUAACAGCUGGUGUGUCAUACUAAGUUUUCUUAAUUAACUCAUCAAUACAUAUCAAUUCAUAAAGCAUCUAUUACAAAAACAGCUCAAAUCAAUGUGGGUUAACAGCAGGUUUGAAAAAUACAUGAUUGUUAUAGGGUGUGCUUUUGUUUACAUUUAAAUGUGAAAAAUUCAAAUGUAAACAAACAACAAGAGAAUAUGGCAUCAAAGGAACAAUUCCGUGAUGACAUCAUUAUGACAUCAUCAUGGCUUUCAUCUCGUGUUACUAACUAGAAGUAGAGCAGCUGUCUAGGAUAUCGUUUGAACCUUUCAGCGAGUAGCUACACUUAAAGAAAGAGACAAUCGAAAUCUUUUAGCAGCGGAACUCUGAGACUACAAACAGUCAAAGACAAUGCAGCGACCAACAGAGAGAGAGGAGACACUCCGCAGGACUGUGGCUCAGCUCACUGGACAGCUGGAGAGUGAGAAGAACCGAACACUCUUGCUCAGCCAGGAGUUGGAGGUGACUCAACAGAAGCUGACCAGGACUGUGACUCAGCUCGAGGGAGAGAAGAACCGAACACUCUUGCUCAGCCAGGAGUUGGAGGUGAUUCAUCAGAAGCUGACCAGACAAAGGGCUCUCAAGGAAGUGUACAUUAACAAAGGGAAGGAGCUCAAAAAGGAGCUGCAGAUGCUUCAAAAGUACAGCUCAGAGGAGACCCUCUCCAAACACAGAAUUGCUCUUAAGGUGAGGGACACGAGCCGGCAGAAGAAGAAGAAGGAUCUUCAUGUCGAUUACGAGGAGCUGAAGGUGGCACAUAUUGUGGAAAAUGAGAGGCUCACAACACAAGUCCAGGAACUGACUGAAAGAAACACGGUCCUCCAUGAAGAACAGGAGAAGACAAGAACCUCAUACCAAGCACUGAAAUUCCAGUAUGCAACUGAUCUCACUGCUGCGAAACAGGAAGUUGAGACCCUUCAGCGUGAGCUGCAAAAUCAGGCUCACCAUGAUGGACUCUUACAGGAACAGACCAUCCAGAUCCUGAGAGCCGAACAGGACUCCAUGACGGAGAAGAUUGCUGUUCUGCAGCAGGCAGCUUUUGAAACAGAGAGGAGGCACUGGGCUGAGCUGGAGGAGCUGAAACAACAGCUCUACAUUCAGACAGCCGGUAUGAUGGACAACAAGGAGCUUAAAGUGGCCCAAGAAACCAGCUUUAACAAUGAAAAAAACAAAAAAACAAAUGAACUCUCAACUGAGCUUCAACUUCGAGAGACAGAAAUCAGGCAAAGUGAGAUGACGCUUCAGGAGCAGGACUUCAUGGACAUGGACAUCGAGCAGUUUUGCAUGGAGUUGGAGAAAACUGCAGAAACUUCUGGAGCUGAAGAACUGGCAGGAGCUUUAGAAAUCGAAGUGACUGCUGGAUCUCCAGAACUAGUUGGAACAGCAGGACCAGCAGAGACACCAACCUCUAAUGCCACCAAACCACCUUCUUCAGUCUGGAAACAAACAAGACACUUCUUGGGGUUAAGAAAGCCUGAGAAGUGGAAGAAGAAGUAACUUCCUCGAAGUAAGGAAGUACUUUAAAAAAGAAGAAAACUCUUCAAAAAGAGAUCUCCAAAAAAAAAUAAAUAAAUAAAAAAAAAAAAAAAAAAAAAACCUUAAAAAUGGCAGAAUACUUGGAAAAAAAACAUAAGAAAACUAAAAAAAUAUAUUAAAUAGAAAAGUAUUUCUGAAAAAAAGAAAACAAAAAAAAAACCUUAAAACAGGCAGAAAAAAGAGAAAACUAAAAAAAAGAAAAAGAAUAGUAUUUCUGAAAACAAAAAAACAAACAAAAAAACACCCUAAGAAAAGUAAAAAACAAAAAGAAAAAUAAUAAUAUUUCUGAUUCUUGGGGUUAAGAAGGCCUGAGAAGUGGAAGAAGAAGUAACUUCCUCGAAGUAAGGAAGUACUUUAAAAAAAAAAAAAAAACUCUUCAAAAAGAGAUCUCCAAAAAAAAUAAAAAAUAAAGAAAACCAAAAAAAAAAAAAAAAUACUGAUGAAAAAACAAAAAAUAAAAAAAAACUUAUAAUGGGCAAAAAAAAAUAAAUAAAAAAAAAAAAAAAGUUUUUCUAAAAAAAAAAAAAAAAAAACCUUGCGGUUUUCCCUCCCAUGGGAGGGUUUUUUCCCCUCCUCGAGCUACCACCUUACCGUGGUGGAGGGGUUUGUGUGUCCCAAUGAUCCCAGGAGCUAUGUUGUUGGGGGCCUCCGAAGGGUCACCCAAGGCAAACAGAUCCUGGGGGAGGGACCAGACUAAGAGUAGCUCAUCCAGACAGAGGUGCCAGGAAAAAAAAAAAAAAAAAAAAGCAAAAUCACCCUAAACAAGGCGUUUUGCACAAAUUAUUAUAAUAAUAAAAAACAGGAAGAAAACUGGAAAAAAAAACUAAAAAAAAAGUAUUUCUGUAAAAAAAAAAUUGGAAAGAAAAUUAAACAACAAAAAACAAAAACACCCAUAACCAGGUGUUUUGCACACACACACACAAAAACCUAAGAGUAGCUCAUCCAGACAGA
This 6028-nucleotide long non-coding RNA is filed under the name Xyrichtys novacula (pearly razorfish). The record is from RNAcentral. Lineage: Eukaryota; Metazoa; Chordata; Actinopteri; Labriformes; Labridae.